Cajanus cajan (pigeon pea) is the source of this 83-nucleotide non-coding RNA. The record is from Rfam. Lineage: Eukaryota; Viridiplantae; Streptophyta; Magnoliopsida; Fabales; Fabaceae.
AGCAAUCAAUGAUGAUAGUUUCUAAUAUGCUGAGUGUCUGUGAUUAUUAUUAUAAACAUCACCAUCUUUCGGCUGAGAUUGCU